CACGCGUUGCUCUCAAAUGAUGCUGACGACAAAGUGAUUCUGUUUUAUCAACCUGAAACUAUGAACUGUAAUGCAAAUUGUGAACUUCGAAAUUGAGGUUAUGAAAUUGACAUAACUAUAUUUAUAAACAAUAUGAACGACCGCGUUGGAGGAUAUGAAUGCAUUGGAACCUUGACAUGUGUUUUACUGUGUUUCUCAUCACGAUAAUAGAAAAUCUAGUGCUCAUACUCACGAUCUAAUGAACAUACAGCCAUACAAAAGAUGUCUUAAAGAGGUAUGCCUCCACUGACAAAGUGAAUUAAGUUGCCUACUCGAAAAGCAACUUUGCAAGGAAGCAAGUUUACUACCCACUGAAAUGUUCUCUUGGUACUUGAUGAGAUUAUGGAAUGAAACUGGCAAUAUUACAAUGUGAUAAAGAUAUUCCUGAUGGCGAUGAGUGAUGACUAACUUUCAAAACUACAAGAUGAACCCCUUCCACUUCUAGAAUGUGAAGAAUGCUGCCAUAUUACUGGCUCAUAUGAUCAUCAUGACAACUGUCUACCGUUGUCUACCCCGAUACAAGGAAAAUUACAAAUGUGUUGCUAAGCUUAAUAUUAGAUCAGUAGAAGCAGUUAGAAGAAUAAAUAAUGGUUCCGGAGUUUUACAAUGGCCGACUAACUUUUGAUGACUGAUGAAGAUAACUAUGCCAGCAAAAGACAGACAACGGAUUUACUUCGAAUAGCAAUAUUAAUAAAGCACUACCUUACAUUAUUAAGA
Molecule: long non-coding RNA, 756 nt
Filed under: Leguminivora glycinivorella
Lineage: Eukaryota; Metazoa; Arthropoda; Insecta; Lepidoptera; Tortricidae
Description: uncharacterized LOC125224980
Source: RNAcentral